This 75-nucleotide transfer RNA is filed under the name Cordylochernes scorpioides. RNAcentral's name for it is "tRNA-Thr". The record is from RNAcentral. Lineage: Eukaryota; Metazoa; Arthropoda; Arachnida; Pseudoscorpiones; Chernetidae.
UGUUCAAGGAUGAGAACCGAACCCACAGUGUUCCGCUUACCGAGCAGAUGCCAUGUCCACUAGGCUACCCUGUAC